GAUGAACGCUGGCGGCGUGCCUAAUACAUGCAAGUCGAGCGAACAGACGAGGAGCUUGCUCCUCUGACGUUAGCGGCGGACGGGUGAGUAACACGUGGAUAACCUACCUGUAAGACUGGGAUAACUUCGGGAAACCGGAGCUAAUACCGGAUAAUAUAUUGAACCGCAUGGUUCAAUAGUGAAAGACGGUUUUGCUGUCACUUAUAGAUGGACCCGCGCCGCAUUAGCUAGUUGGUAAGGUAACGGCUUACCAAGGCAACGAUGCGUAGCCGACCUGAGAGGGUGAUCGGCCACAUUGGAACUGAGACACGGUCCAGACUCCUACGGGAGGCAGCAGUAGGGAAUCUUCCGCAAUGGGCGAAAGCCUGACGGAGCAACGCCGCGUGGGUGAUGAAGGUCUUCGGAUCGUAAAACCCUGUUAUUAGGGAAGAACAAAUGUGUAAGUAACUAUGCACGUCUUGACGGUACCUAACCAGAAAGCCACGGCUAACUACGU
This 496-nucleotide ribosomal RNA is filed under the name uncultured bacterium. Its description in RNAcentral is "partial 16S ribosomal RNA". It matches the Rfam family "Bacterial small subunit ribosomal RNA", at positions 28 to 506 of the family's 1533-position model. The record is from RNAcentral.